Molecule: long non-coding RNA, 649 nt
Organism: Homo sapiens (human)
Lineage: Eukaryota; Metazoa; Chordata; Mammalia; Primates; Hominidae
Gene: LAMA4-AS1
Product: LAMA4 antisense RNA 1
Source: Ensembl
UCCCCUUUGGAGAUCACUGGAAACAGCUUCUGGACCACAAAUGGGGUGAACUACUGUAUCGAGAAAGGAGAGAGUAAGACUUGAGAGCUAUCUUUUUAGCUCAGGGUGCAGAUGGAGUCUUGCUCUGUCACUCAGGCUGGAGUGCAGUAGCGCAGUCUCGGCUCAUUGCAACCUCUGCUUUCCGGUUUCAAGCUAUUCUCCUGCCUCAGCCUCCUGAGUAGCUGGUGUACACCACCACGCGGGAAGCUCACCAGAAUCCAUGCUGUGUGCGAUUGUGACCCUGGAACCCAGCCCAUUUCAAUGUAUUUUGCAUGUCCUCCUCUGAAGCAUGCUGGAGAUAAAGAAUGAUGAACGAGCAAGAGUAAGUUUAAUUAGCACAUGACUUGCAAUAUUUCCCCACUCUGAGGACUAACCAUGCUUUUUCUGGUUUUGGACGGAAUCUUAAAUCCAAGUUUUUAAAAGGGUCUUACUUUCUUAAUAUAGUUUUAGAUUAGAUUUUAGAAUCAGCACAUUAUGCACGAAUCUAAGAAAUAGACAUUUUGCACAAUCCAAGGUGGAGGUUAGUCAUCAUUUUGCCUCUCUCUACAGUUUGUGAGAGAGAAAUUAUAGCAACCAGAACAGCACUCUAGUCCUCUAGAGAGCAAUGUUU